This 884-nucleotide ribosomal RNA is filed under the name Escherichia coli. Its description in RNAcentral is "partial 23S ribosomal RNA". It matches the Rfam family "Bacterial large subunit ribosomal RNA", at positions 1005 to 1873 of the family's 2925-position model. The record is from RNAcentral. Lineage: Bacteria; Pseudomonadati; Pseudomonadota; Gammaproteobacteria; Enterobacterales; Enterobacteriaceae.
CCGUCGUGAAGAGGGAAACAACCCAGACCGCCAGCUAAGGUCCCAAAGUCAUGGUUAAGUGGGAAACGAUGUGGGAAGGCCCAGACAGCCAGGAUGUUGGCUUAGAAGCAGCCAUCAUUUAAAGAAAGCGUAAUAGCUCACUGGUCGAGUCGGCCUGCGCGGAAGAUGUAACGGGGCUAAACCAUGCACCGAAGCUGCGGCAGCGACGCUUAUGCGUUGUUGGGUAGGGGAGCGUUCUGUAAGCCUGCGAAGGUGUGCUGUGAGGCAUGCUGGAGGUAUCAGAAGUGCGAAUGCUGACAUAAGUAACGAUAAAGCGGGUGAAAAGCCCGCUCGCCGGAAGACCAAGGGUUCCUGUCCAACGUUAAUCGGGGCAGGGUGAGUCGACCCCUAAGGCGAGGCCGAAAGGCGUAGUCGAUGGGAAACAGGUUAAUAUUCCUGUACUUGGUGUUACUGCGAAGGGGGGACGGAGAAGGCUAUGUUGGCCGGGCGACGGUUGUCCCGGUUUAAGCGUGUAGGCUGGUUUUCCAGGCAAAUCCGGAAAAUCAAGGCUGAGGCGUGAUGACGAGGCACUACGGUGCUGAAGCAACAAAUGCCCUGCUUCCAGGAAAAGCCUCUAAGCAUCAGGUAACAUCAAAUCGUACCCCAAACCGACACAGGUGGUCAGGUAGAGAAUACCAAGGCGCUUGAGAGAACUCGGGUGAAGGAACUAGGCAAAAUGGUGCCGUAACUUCGGGAGAAGGCACGCUGAUAUGUAGGUGAAGCGACUUGCUCGUGGAGCUGAAAUCAGUCGAAGAUACCAGCUGGCUGCAACUGUUUAUUAAAAACACAGCACUGUGCAAACACGAAAGUGGACGUAUACGGUGUGACGCCUGCCCGGUGCCGGA